This is a long non-coding RNA of Aedes aegypti (yellow fever mosquito), 1378 nucleotides long. RefSeq lists it as uncharacterized. The record is from RefSeq and is a predicted model, not a curated record. The transcript is spliced from 3 exons. Lineage: Eukaryota; Metazoa; Arthropoda; Insecta; Diptera; Culicidae.
GAGCAAGAUUCCCGUUUCCCUCUUCAGGCGAAGUGGUGUUUUCGAUGGAAAAAACGGUAUGGUGACGGAAAACAAAGAAUACAAAGAGUCACCUCCAUCAAGCAGCACGGUGGCAGCAACCCCCUGUUCAAAUAUCGUCAAAGUUCGUGGCAAGUGUUGGCAGUAGUGCACCGGAUGAGGAACCACCACCUCCAGGAACAGAAGAUACGGCAUCGGUCCAAACGACGUCGCUGAAUACCCUGGGGUCACCAACAGUGAUGCCAUUGACGAUGAACAUGAAGAGGGGGAAUCGAAAGCGACGACGAUGAAGAGGAAGGACGGUUGGAGUACGAGGACAUUAGUUCCAGAGAAAAGACCAACAUUGAAGCCAUGGAUGAUGAGUUGGGAAAGAUCCAUCAGAUUACCGGUGCCAGCAGCGAUGACCAGGGACAUUGCGGUGAGUGCUGUUAUCAAACAUCAUCCUCAUAACCGACAGUAGUGCAGCAAAGGAUAAACAGUUUCCUGUCCCGAACGGGUCUUCAGCGUGGAAAACAUGAGAUAUGCACUCGGGGUAAUUUAUCACGGUCAUGAUCCUGCUCACUCUCCUCAACCGAACAUUGUUGAGCAAUCAUGCAUAAUUCACCUACAGUAUCAGAAAGCCGUGACAAUUUGAAAUACCUCGCAACAACGCAAAGGACGACCCAGAUUUUAUAGCAUUGAACAGAAAUAGUUACUUGCCAACAUGCACGUAGAGAUGUACAUUAGUUAGAGUGCAACCAAACAUGCCUGGGGGAUGAGUCAAAGAUUUUCGAUGUUCCCGCAUGGACGAUACCGGCAGGGAGCCAUAAAUUAUUAAUAUGACAAAAACAGCGACUUGAGAUAUACGGAGAGUUAGAUAACUUUGCCUCAUCCACGCCUCAUUGCUGUUCAUUUAUUUGCGAUGGGCAACCGACCGAUGACAACAACGGCCAUGUCACCACGGCUGCUACUUUGGUACGUGGCAGGCCAAAGUCGGAAAAUGUCACCCCACUAAUCGACGGAAUAGACGUAGAGAAGCUGCGAUGGGACUACCGCCGUCUUGUGUUGGUCAAGUGAGCGAAACAUCAACAUUUGUUGUCGGUUGUCUUUGGCAUCGCAUCCCCUGACCCUGAGAGACUGUGCGAGUGAACAUUUAGGCAUAUUCCUAAUUGAGAGUACCAGUUUGAAGGACCAGAUGAUGAUACACUGAGAUUGCAGAUCCAUUUGCCAGUUUGUGGUCUUUUUGAGGUCGCAAAACGUUAGUUUGUGAUGGCUUUUCUGUAUGAUGAACAGUGCCGAUAGGCGGGUUGUGAACCAGCUGCAUGUUACUGAUUUCGACGUUACAUAGAAACAACUGAAGAUUCCGUCUCGAAGAUAUUAC